Molecule: long non-coding RNA, 557 nt
Filed under: Brachypodium distachyon (stiff brome)
Lineage: Eukaryota; Viridiplantae; Streptophyta; Magnoliopsida; Poales; Poaceae
Description: long non-coding RNA (BDIS_LNC004917)
Source: RNAcentral
AAUACCAAAGAUCCAUAAUUCAAUUAUUCGCAUUUGUAUCGAAUGACUUAUUUUCUAUUCAAGUUGAUGAAGUGAAAGAAUUCAAACUAGAAAUGCAUUCUUUUUGGGUCAGUGAAUACACCCACAUUCAUUUUCCUAUAUAUUAUCAUUUUUUAAUACAUUACUUUAAUUAGUUUUUUUUUGUUUUCAGGCCAAUCAUGCUGCGACAUAUAACCUUUUGUAAAGUACAAUUCCAUUUAUAUUUGUACUUUAGAUAAUUUAUCAUAUAGCAAAUUGAUUUGAUUUUCUGAUACCAUCAUUUUGGGUAUUAGGUUAAUGGUAUCUUCUCUUUAAUCGUUACUCCAGAGACUUCAUAAUCAUUUCGCACAUGAAAGUUGAUUUGUUAGUACUGUCUUACAAGAUAUCUUCUAAUUCUAUUUUCCACUAAAUUUGUGUGAAUACAUAUGUGCAGUGGUACAUAUAGGUGUAGUAUGCGGUUAUAUCUUAAUCGACAUUUCUCUCAAAGCAUAAGUUUCUCAAUGACACCAGUACAUAUUCAACUAUUUAUAGCCAACAUC